UUGCACCCGCAUUUACUCUUUUCACAUAUCCAAUUCCUUCGUUGAAUUUGAACCCCUCUCUCUAUCUCUCUCAGUCUCUCUCCUUCCAUCUUCUAAUGGGGUCCCCUCUCCGGUUCCCAGGGUUGUGACGGAAACAACCAGCAAACUAAAACCCAUCCCAAUUCCCUCGUCACUCUCAUAUCUCUCAUUCACACAUCAUCACGGCGGGUGACGCCAAUGCGAGAGCAGACGACGUCACGGCAGACGACCGCCACGACUCCUUGAUGAUGGAGUGACAGACACAACCAGCAUCCUCUUCUCCUUCUCUCACGGUGGCAGCUGCGCAAUCAUCUGAGCUGUGCCUGCAUUUUCUACAGAAGAUGCUAGAGGUAACUACUAUGAAGUUUCUCCUCACAUGUCAAACCCUAGCUUUGCUCUUCUAUUGAUUUCUCUACUACUCUCGUACUCGUCUGUUGCACAUGCACUUGAAGCACUAGGUUUUCCGCGGGGAUCAGCAAUGGCUAUAGAUAUGCCAAUGAAUGUUGAUUCUUGUCAGACAUUGAACGAGGAAGAAAAUUUUGAGGUUCAGGACAGAGAAUCACUUUUUCCUCUUGGAUGGAUUCAUACACACCCUACACAGACAUGUUUCAUGUCAUCAGUGGACUUGCAUACUCAUUACUCAUAUCAGAAAGUAUCGUGGUGAACAGGUGAGGCGCAUUGUUGCUGAUUUGAGAGAGGCACAGUAUCGUGUAGAAGGAAAAGAUUGCUAUGUGUUGUUCCAUUUUCUCAGCAACUUAUUGCAACUGAAAGAGCUUGGUUUGCAUGGCGUGAUUACUUUAAUUGAGCUUGGUGCACACUUUUUCUGUCUACUAGUUAGAUAUAGGAUUCUUGCUCCUGUAUCUAUAUUGUUGUAACUUUCGUAAUGCAAAUAAAUGAUCUCUGUUUAUGAAAAAUAGUGUGAUGAUUGUCCUUUUCUCUUUGUUCGAA
Beta vulgaris subsp. vulgaris (sugar beet) is the source of this 966-nucleotide RNA transcript. It is a transcript of the gene named AMSH-like ubiquitin thioesterase 3, with no coding region annotated. The transcript has 7 exons. Lineage: Eukaryota; Viridiplantae; Streptophyta; Magnoliopsida; Caryophyllales; Amaranthaceae. The record is from RefSeq and is a predicted model, not a curated record.